RNAcentral lists this ribosomal RNA (428 nucleotides) under uncultured bacterium. RNAcentral describes it as "partial 16S ribosomal RNA". It matches the Rfam family "Bacterial small subunit ribosomal RNA", at positions 354 to 796 of the family's 1533-position model. The record is from RNAcentral.
GUAGGGAAUAUUGCGCAAUGGGGGAAACCCUGACGCAGCGACGCCGCGUGAGUGAUGAAGGCCUUCGGGUCGUAAAGCUCUGUUGCAGGGGAAUAAAAAAAUGAAGGUACCCUGUGAGGAAGGAUCGGCUAACUUCGUGCCAGCAGCCGCGGUAAGACGAGGGAUCCUAGCGUUGCUCGGAAUCAUUGGGCGUAAAGAGGGCGUAGGUGGCUUGGUAAGUCAGGUGUGAAAGCCCAGGGCUCAACCCUGGAAGUGCAUUUGAUACUGCUGAGCUUGAGUGUCGGAGAGGUUACCGGAAUACCUGGUGUAGCGGUGAAAUACGUAGAUAUCAGGUGGAACACCGGAGGCGAAGGCGGGUAACUGGACGAACACUGACACUGAGGCCCGAAAGCGUGGGGAUCAAACAGGAUUAGAAACCCCAGUAGUCC